RNAcentral lists this transfer RNA (69 nucleotides) under marine eukaryotic metagenome. It matches the Rfam family "tRNA". Rfam says of the family: Transfer RNA (tRNA) molecules are approximately 80 nucleotides in length. Their secondary structure includes four short double-helical elements and three loops (D, anti-codon, and T loops). The record is from RNAcentral.
GGGGCGUAGCUCAGUUGGCAGAGCAACGGACUUUUAAUCCGUAGGUCACAGGUUCGAACCCUGUCGCCC